This 497-nucleotide ribosomal RNA is filed under the name uncultured bacterium. RNAcentral's name for it is "partial 16S ribosomal RNA". It matches the Rfam family "Bacterial small subunit ribosomal RNA", at positions 28 to 507 of the family's 1533-position model. The record is from RNAcentral.
GAUGAACGCUGGCGGCGUGCCUAAUACAUGCCAGUCGAGCGAACAGAUGAGGAGCUUGCUCCUCUGACGUUAGCGGCGGACGGGUGAGUAACACGUGGAUAACCUACCUAUAAGACUGGGAUAACUUCGGGAAACCGGAGCUAAUACCGGAUAAUAUAUUGAACCGCAUGGUUCAAUAGUGAAAGACGGUUUUGCUGUCACUUAUAGAUGGAUCCGCGCCGCAUUAGCUAGUUGGUAAGGUAACGGCUUACCAAGGCAACGAUGCGUAGCCGACCUGAGAGGGUGAUCGGCCACACUGGAACUGAGACACGGUCCGGACUCCUACGGGAGGCAGCAGUAGGGAAUCUUCCGCAAUGGGCGAAAGCCUGACGGAGCAACGCCGCGUGAGUGAUGAAGGUCUUCGGAUCGUAAAACUCUGUUAUUAGGGAAGAACAAAUGUGUAAGUAACUAUGCACGUCUUGACGGUACCUAAUCAGAAAGCCACGGCUAACUACGUG